This 800-nucleotide long non-coding RNA is filed under the name Homo sapiens (human). Its description in RNAcentral is "HSALNT0038997". Lineage: Eukaryota; Metazoa; Chordata; Mammalia; Primates; Hominidae. The record is from RNAcentral.
CUGUCCUGGUUUCAUAAAUGAGGAAACUCGGGCUCCAAAGAAUCAAGUGAUUUCCCUGGAGCAGAAGCUGGUCAAAAAGACAGAACUGCAAAUCUGUUUGGUUCUAGGAGCAGGGAAGACAGGACUUUCCCCUGAAGCUCUUAUCUCCCUCCCUGAGGUUGCUGUGAGUGGAAAACAGGAGGGUUGGGGGUAGGGUAGGAGCAACUGAUAAUGGACGUUUUUUUCCUCUCCAAGGAGGCAUUUUCUCCCCACUCCAUUCCUUCCCCCCACAAAGCUUCAUCCACCCUCCCUCAGAGCUGCAUCAGGAGUACCAAGUGACAGAGCUCCUGCACCGAAGUGCCUGGCCUAGAAUCCUGCCUUCAGGAACUCCAAGAAAAAGCAGCCAGAGAAAGAAAGGGUGCUUCCCCUUCCAGAACUCCCUUUAUUAUUGCACCCCACUUCAAUCACUCUCCUGGCUUUCAAACUUACAUGAUAUAAGAGGGAAGCCUGAUUUCACCCUCUCAGCUGGUCAUCUGUAAGAUGGGAACGACGCAUCUUGGGAGAACAACCCAGAAGAGAGUAUCAGAAAGUGCUUUCCAAAUUUUCAAGUGCUAACAAAGAAGUACCACCCUAAAGGCUGAGGUUCUCGCCUACCAGAUGAAGACACUGAGGCUGGAGGGGGUCACACAGCUGGAAAAUGGAAUCUGAACCUGCACCUGUUCUCUUUCCCGAGCCCGACCUCGCCCGACCUCACCCACCGUAACAAAGUCACAAGGCCCAAAUGGGCCUUUCGCAUCAGCUCCCCACUACUUCUGGGUUCC